UACGAGGGCUCCAAGCGUUAUCCGGAUUUAUUGGGCGUAAAGGGUCCGUAGGCGGUUUUUCGCAUCUCCUGUUAAAGCCCGAGGCUCAACCUCGGAACAGCGGGAGAGAUGGACAAACUAGAGGCCGGAAGAGGCAAAUGGAAUUGCUGGUGUAGGGGUUAAAUCCGUUAAUAUCAGCAGGAACACCAAAUGCGAAAGCAGUUUGCUGGAACGGUCCUGACGCUAAGGGACGAAAGCGUGGGUAG
Molecule: ribosomal RNA, 245 nt
Filed under: uncultured bacterium
Lineage: Bacteria
Description: partial 16S ribosomal RNA
Rfam family: Bacterial small subunit ribosomal RNA
Source: RNAcentral